UGUGUACUCCCUCCGUUCCAAAAUACUUGACUUCCAUUUGUCCAAAAAUGGAUGUACCUAUAUACUAAGACAUGUCUAGAUACAUACAUAUAUUGACAAAUAGAAGGCAUGUAUUGUGCAAUGGAGGGAGUAGAAU
Molecule: non-coding RNA, 136 nt
Organism: Triticum urartu
Lineage: Eukaryota; Viridiplantae; Streptophyta; Magnoliopsida; Poales; Poaceae
Source: Rfam